This 439-nucleotide non-coding RNA is filed under the name Eudorina sp. 2006-703-Eu-15. Lineage: Eukaryota; Viridiplantae; Chlorophyta; Chlorophyceae; Chlamydomonadales; Volvocaceae. The record is from RNAcentral.
UGCGUUGUGGGGUCUUCCGCCUCGACCGCAGGUUAUCUUAGCUCACGACUUACAUAGUCCGGGCUCCUACAAACCCUAGAGUUGGUUGACGAGUGGCCGGUUGCGCGGAGCGCGAUAAGUCACAAGUCUGCUAUAAGACUGCGGGAGGAUUUCAGGGUGGUGCUUCCCUCCCGCGGGGGCGGCAGCUGUUGCGCUGCUCCUUCACUCAAGCGGUCACCGGUUCGAGCGGCGGGCUCCUCAACAAGUAUAUGACACCGAGGGGAAUGGUGCGCGACCCUCCCUGGUGUGGCGCUGGCAGGGCGGUACAAUGCGGAUCUCGUACGGGGUCGGUGCGCGCCGGAAUCGUGGGUCACCUGCUUCGAGCAGGGCCUUCGCAUGCGCCGCGCCCGAAGCCGGGAGGGGCGAGAGAUAUCAACAUCCGACCGUGGCUGCAUAUUGC